GACGAACGCUGGCGGCGUGCUUAACACAUGCAAGUCGAACGGAAAGGCCCCUUUGGGGGUACUCGAGUGGCGAACGGGUGAGUAACACGUGAGUAACCUGCCCUUGACUUCGGGAUAACUUCAGGAAACUGGGGCUAAUACCGGAUAGGAAUCCUUGCUGCAUGGUGGGGGUUGGAAAGCUUCGGCGGUUUUGGAUGGACUCGCGGCUUAUCAGCUUGUUGGUGGGGUAGUGGCUUACCAAGGCUUUGACGGGUAGCCGGCCUGAGAGGGCGACCGGCCACAUUGGGACUGAGAUACGGCCCAGACUCCUACGGGAGGCAGCAGGGGGGAAUAUUGCACAAUGGGCGGAAGCCUGAUGCAGCAACGCCGCGUGCGGGAUGACGGCCUUCGGGUUGUAAACCGAUUUCAGCAGGGGCGAAGCUUGUGGUGACGGUACCUGAAGAAGAAGCACCGGCUAACUACGUG
This 465-nucleotide ribosomal RNA is filed under the name uncultured bacterium. RNAcentral describes it as "partial 16S ribosomal RNA". It matches the Rfam family "Bacterial small subunit ribosomal RNA", at positions 28 to 507 of the family's 1533-position model. The record is from RNAcentral.